RNAcentral lists this non-coding RNA (201 nucleotides) under Lysinibacillus contaminans. RNAcentral describes it as "T-box sequence". It matches the Rfam family "T-box leader". Rfam says of the family: Uncharged tRNA acts as the effector for transcription antitermination of genes in the T-box leader family. T-boxes are found upstream of many aminoacyl-tRNA synthetase genes and some amino acid biosynthetic genes usually in Gram-positive bacteria. The record is from RNAcentral. Lineage: Bacteria; Bacillati; Bacillota; Bacilli; Caryophanales; Bacillaceae.
UAACAUGCGUAGAUGAAGAGUAGUAACAAGCUUUUGUACUUAUAGAGAGCUGAUGGUUGGUGUAAAUCAGCAGUACACACUUGCGAAUGGACUUCGGAGCAUCCUCAUCAAAAUGUGAGGACGGUGAUACUCCCCGUUACAGGAGGUUUGAGUGCGCAACUAUUGCGAACAAAGGUGGCACCACGGUUACUCGUCCUUUUU